ACAUCGUAACACAGACAGAAGGAGGCGUGUGACAGCAGUACAGCGCUACACGUCGCUUUCGGCUGACCGAGAACAACCCCAGUUUCUUUCGGUGUUCAUUAAAACAGCAGCCGUGCCCCGCCGCGCCCCCACCCCCAGCGGAGCCGUCAUGUGGCAGGAGGCCCGCAAACACGAGCGAAAGCUCCGUGGCAUGAUGGUGGAUUACAAACGCAGAGGGGAGCGAAGGCGAGAAUACUAUGAGAAGAUUAAAAAGGAUCCAGCUCAGUUUCUGCAGGUUCAUGGGAGAGCCUAUAAGAUUCAUCUGGAUCCAGCUGUGGCACUGGCUGCAGAGAGCCCCAUCAAUAUGAUGCCGUGGCAGGGAGAUGCCAACAACACGAUUGACAGGUUUGAUGUCAGGGCUCAUCUGGACUACAUCCCUACUUACACUCCUCCACUGCUCAACACAUCAACCCCGGAGCAGGAGAUGGAGGAGAGGAAGUGCAAUUACGAGCGCUACAGAGGCCUUGUGCAGAAUGACUUUGCCAACAUCUCUGAAGAACAGUGCUUAUACCAGAUCUACCUGGAUGAGCUCUACGGUGGCCUGCAGAAACCAAAUGAGGAUGAGAAGAAAAAACUGGCUGAAAAAAAGGCAGCCAUCGGUUACACCUAUGAAGACAGCACUGUGGCAGAGCCUGAUCCCCAGUCAGACAAAGAUGAAGACAACUCAGAGAACAGUGAAUCAGAGGAGGACGAGGGCAUCCCGGAUAUCGAUGUGGAGGUGGAUGUUGAUGAGCUGAACCAGGAACAGGUGUUGGAAGUAAACAAAAUAGCGACCCCGUAUGGAAUGGCUGAAGGAGACUUUGUUAGGAUGUUGAGGAAAGACAAGGAGGAAGUUGAGGCCAUCAAACAUGCCAAGGCUCUGGAGGCGGAGAAGGCCAUGUACUCUGGCCGGCGUUCUCGCAGACAAAGGAGAGAGUUCAGAGAGAAGAGGCUAAAAGGUCGUCAAAUCAGUCCACCAAGCUAUGCAAGGAGAGACAGCCCCACCUAUGAUCCCUACAAACGGCCAGAAUCAGAGUCGAGCUCUGAGUCACGGUCACGCUCUCGCACUCCCGGCCCAGAGAAGAUCACCUUCAUCACCAGCUUCGGAGGCAGCGAUGAUGAAGCUGUCGCCGCCGCCGCUGCUGCUGCCGCCGCUGCAGCAGCAACUCAAGCAGCCGCUCCUCACUCUGGCCAGGCUCCCUCCAGCACGCAGCACCCUGCAGGUCAUAGCAGGGGCUCCCGGAGACGAAGGUCGUCCUCCAGCCGCUCCCCCUCCUCCUCCUCCCGCUCCUCCUCUCGUUCCUCCUCUCGCUCUUCGUCUCGUUCACGCCGUGCCAGACGAGGUCGCGGGGGAAGGGAUGGCCGGCGAUCCAGGACCCGAUCACGGUCGAGACGGCGUUCCAGAUCUCACUCAAGAGGUAGAGGAGGAAAUGGAGGAUCUGCAUCCUGGAGGAGACGCGACCGGACACGAUCACGGUCCAACAACAGAGAUAGAGAGCGAGAGCGAGACAGAGACAGAGACAGGGACAGGGACAGAGAUAGGGAGCGUGAACGGGACAGGGACCGUGACAAGGACAAGGAAAAAGAAAAGGAAAAGGAAAAGGAAAAGGACAAAGACAAGGACAAGGACAAGGACCGGGACAGGAGACGAUACUCGGCGCGAAGACGAACAAGGUCCCGUUCCAGCUCACGGCAGGGGGCCAGCUUGAGGCGAGGGGGACGAAGCAGUGGAGGCCACCGACGGGGAGACAGCAUCAGCCGCAGUCCCUCUCUGUCCCCAAAUCGCACUAACCACAGUCCCUCUCCUACCCACAGAGGAGCCCAGCCCUCUUCCCUCAGCAUCUGUGACAAGCUAAGAAAGCCUGAAACUCCGGGUGGUAAAGAGACGGGAGCUGCCAAAGUCACCCAAGAUGACCCCGCAGGAGCGUCUGAAGCAGCGAAUGCAGAAGGCGCUCAACAAGCAGUCCAAGGCGGAUAAAAAAGCUGCGCAGGUGAAGGUCCUGCAGCAGGAGCACAAGCGACAGGAGAGGGAGGGAGAGCUGCGGGCCAUGGCACGCAAGAUCCGCAUGAAGGAGCGGGAGAGGCGAGAGAAAGAGAGGGAUGAAUGGGAGAGACAGUAUGGGCGACAGAGCCACUCGCCCUCUCCUUCCAAAUAUGGCCGUGAACACAGCUCAUACAGAAGGAGGUCGCGUUCUCGGUCACGGAGUCCGUACUACAGAUACUGAUCUGUGGACAAUAUGAACACAUCCCAUAGGACCUUCUGCACAAUACGUCAUCAUCAGUACUCAUACUGUCAAACAAAAAGGAAAUAUGAAGUGAUGGACUGACUGACUAGCAUAUGUCUACAAAUAGUGUUUUGACUGUGAUACCUUUAAUCACACUAAGUACACAGUUGAUUGGUUAUUUUUGACCCUUUUAUUUCUGCUUCACCUGUAAAAAGACAGAAGGAUUGUUAUGAGUUACUGUUUUCUCCUGCAUGAUGUUUUUUUUUUUUUUCUUCUGGCUGAACAUCUUUUUCCAAUAUGGACUCCUCUGGAAAUGCAUACUUCCAAGUAUAUACACCAAUCAGCCAUAACAUGACCACUGAGAGUAUCAUUGAUUAACUUGCUUUUAAAGCCAUCUGUCAGAAGGUUGGGCAUUUUAGGCAGCAAAUAAACAUGUCGUUAGAAUUGACUUUGACAAGGACCAAAUCAUGAUGAUUCUAAAAGUGAUCCAAGGAAGGAAAACUGGUAAAGUGGCAGCAGGGUCAUGGGCGACCAAGCCUCAUUGAUGCACUUGGGGACCAAAGGUUGGCCUGUGUGGUUUCGAUCAAACAAGAGAAACUGAAUCUCAAACUACUGAAAAUGUUAAUGCAGAAAGUUGUCAGCAAACUGUGCAUCACAGUCUGACCACAAAGCAAUGGAAGAAAGUGGCCUGGUGACACACAAUAGCAUUGAAUUUACAGUCCAUAGAGGCCCCAACUUGUACCUACAAGACCUAGUGCAAACUUCCUGGUGCCAGAUACUGCAUACAACAGAUGGGCUGUUUUUACUCUCACCUGAUGAGAGUAUGGCCUACACAACAUAAGGCAGGUGGUCAUAAUGUUAUAGCUGUUUGGUGUAAUACUAAGCAAUAUCGUCUCCUCUUUUACCUAAUCUUUUCAUGUCUUUAUGCCACUCUUAUCCUUUAACUUCUCUAAGAAUUAAUGCUCACACUCAAAACAAUUUUAAACAACUUUCAUGAGCUGAUGUACAGAAUAUUUAUAGACAUUAUUUAGAAUUUGUUUAUAAAAGCAUAUGAAGUUCAUGUAUGAAUUCAAUCCAUCAAUCCCUCUUUUUAUACUCUGUCCUCUGCCAAAUGGUCAACAGAAGCAAAUAACUUUUUUUGUUGUCAGUAAUGUGGAAUGUUAAACUCAAAACAACAAAUAAAACUUAAUUUUGAAAUA
Molecule: RNA transcript, 3442 nt
Organism: Notolabrus celidotus (New Zealand spotty)
Lineage: Eukaryota; Metazoa; Chordata; Actinopteri; Labriformes; Labridae
Gene: clasrp
Gene name: CLK4-associating serine/arginine rich protein
Exons: 21
Source: RefSeq, a predicted model, not a curated record